Acanthosepion pharaonis is the source of this 111-nucleotide non-coding RNA. The record is from the annotation of a GenBank genome assembly. NCBI's taxonomy places the organism in Eukaryota, Metazoa, Mollusca, Cephalopoda, Sepiida, Sepiidae.
UCAGCCAUAUCAUGUUGAAACACCGGUUCUCGUAUGACCCCGAAGUUAAGCAAUGUGGUGACUGGUCAAUACCUAGAUGGGUGACCGCUUGGGAAUACCAGUUGCUGUAAG